UCCAGACUCCUACGGGAGGCAGCAGUAGGGAAUAUUGCUCAAUGGGGGGAACCCUGAUGCAGCGACGCCGCGUGGGUGAAGGAGUAUUUCGGUAUGUAAAGCCCUAUCAGCAGGGAAGAACAAUGACGGUACCUGACUAAGAAGCACCGGCUAAAUACGUGCCAGCAGCCGCGGUAAUACGUAUGGUGCAAGCGUUAUCCGGAUUUACUGGGUGUAAAGGGAGCGUAGACGGCCAGACAAGUCAGAAGUGAAAGCCCAGGGCUCAACCCUGGGACUGCUUUUGGAACUGCGUGGCUGGAGUGCAGGAGGGGCAGGCGGAAUUCCUGGUGUAGCGGUGAAAUGCGUAGAUAUCAGGAGGAACACCGGUGGCGAAGGCGGCCUGCUGGACUGCAACUGACGUUGAGGCCCGAAAGCGUGGGGAGCAAACAGGAUUAGAUACCCGGGUAGAU
Molecule: ribosomal RNA, 449 nt
Filed under: uncultured bacterium
Lineage: Bacteria
Description: bacterial SSU rRNA
Rfam family: Bacterial small subunit ribosomal RNA
Source: RNAcentral